UUUUACGUCGUCCUAAGGUCAUCGACGACUUCUUUUGUCUGUGUAGGGUUGUUAUCUACCGAGCUCCUUUUCGACUUUUACGCUGUUCGAAGAUACCCGGUUGUCAUUUUUCCGUCAAUGGCUGCAGGUUCGCUUGGGGCCAUUCGGGCCCGGGGUCCCUCCUAGGGCUUGAAUUCGGAGAUCCGAGCUUCAGUUGCCCUCGGGUGCUGCUUGUUUUCCAAUCAUCACUGUUGCGAUCCAUUACCUUCCUUUAUUGCUUGGAGUUUUUUCUCCGCUGAAGUCGAGGCUAAGUUCGGCUCCCGUGGGAGUCCGGACGGAGAAUCCCUCUUGAAGUU
This 335-nucleotide long non-coding RNA is filed under the name Elaeis guineensis (African oil palm). Its description in RNAcentral is "long non-coding RNA (EGUI_LNC055615)". The record is from RNAcentral. Lineage: Eukaryota; Viridiplantae; Streptophyta; Magnoliopsida; Arecales; Arecaceae.